This 31-nucleotide non-coding RNA is filed under the name Homo sapiens (human). Lineage: Eukaryota; Metazoa; Chordata; Mammalia; Primates; Hominidae. The record is from RNAcentral.
UGCCAUGACGAAAUACCACAGGCCGGAUGGU